RNAcentral lists this ribosomal RNA (183 nucleotides) under uncultured bacterium. RNAcentral describes it as "partial 16S ribosomal RNA". It matches the Rfam family "Bacterial small subunit ribosomal RNA", at positions 1318 to 1500 of the family's 1533-position model. The record is from RNAcentral.
GCAUGAAGCCGGAAUCGCUAGUAAUCGCGGAUCAGAAUGCCGCGGUGAAUACGUUCCCGGGUCUUGUACACACCGCCCGUCACACCAUGGGAGUCGGGAAUGCCCGAAGUCAGUGGCCCAACCGGAAGGGGGGAGCUGCCGAAGGCAGGCCCGGUGACUGGGGUGAAGUCGUAACAAGGUAAC